GACGAACGCUGGCGGCAUGCCUAAUACAUGCAAGUAGAACGCUGAAGAGAGGAGCUUGCUCUUCUUGGAUGAGUUGCGAACGGGUGAGUAACGCGUAGGUAACCUGCCUUGUAGCGGGGGAUAACUAUUGGAAACGAUAGCUAAUACCGCAUAACAAUGGAUGACACAUGUCAUUUAUUUGAAAGGGGCAAUUGCUCCACUACAAGAUGGACCUGCGUUGUAUUAGCUAGUAGGUGAGGUAACGGCUCACCUAGGCGACGAUACAUAGCCGACCUGAGAGGGUGAUCGGCCACACUGGGACUGAGACACGGCCCAGACUCCUACGGGAGGCAGCAGUAGGGAAUCUUCGGCAAUGGGGGCAACCCUGACCGAGCAACGCCGCGUGAGUGAAGAAGGUUUUCGGAUCGUAAAGCUCUGUUGUAAGUCAAGAACGAGUGUGAGAGUGGAAAAUUCACACUGUGACGGUAGCUUACCAGAAAGGGACGGCUAACUACGUGCCAGCAGCCGCGGUAAUACGUAGGUCCCGAGCGUUGUCCGGAUUUAUUGGGCGUAAAGCGAGCGCAGGCGGUUUGAUAAGUCUGAAGUUAAAGGCUGUGGCUCAACCAUAGUUCGCUUUGGAAACUGUCAAACUUGAGUGCAGAAGGGGAGAGUGGAAUUCCAUGUGUAGCGGUGAAAUGCGUAGAUAUAUGGAGGAACACCGGUGGCGAAAGCGGCUCUCUGGUCUGUAACUGACGCUGAGGCUCGAAAGCGUGGGGAGCGAACAGGAUUAGAUACCCUGGUAGUCCACGCCGUAAACGAUGAGUGCUAGGUGUUGGAUCCUUUCCGGGAUUCAGUGCCGCAGCUAACGCAUUAAGCACUCCGCCUGGGGAGUACGACCGCAAGGUUGAAACUCAAAGGAAUUGACGGGGGCCCGCACAAGCGGUGGAGCAUGUGGUUUAAUUCGAAGCAACGCGAAGAACCUUACCAGGUCUUGACAUCCCGAUGCUAUUUCUAGAGAUAGAAAGUUACUUCGGUACAUCGGUGACAGGUGGUGCAUGGUUGUCGUCAGCUCGUGCCGUGAGAUGUUGGGUUAAGUCCCGCAACGAGCGCAACCCCUAUUGUUAGUUGCCAUCAUUCAGUUGGGCACUCUAGCGAGACUGCCGGUAAUAAACCGGAGGAAGGUGGGGAUGACGUCAAAUCAUCAUGCCCCUUAUGACCUGGGCUACACACGUGCUACAAUGGUUGGUACAACGAGUUGCGAGUCGGUGACGGCAAGCUAAUCUCUUAAAGCCAAUCUCAGUUCGGAUUGUAGGCUGCAACUCGCCUACAUGAAGUCGGAAUCGCUAGUAAUCGCGGAUCAGCACGCCGCGGUGAAUACGUUCCCGGGCCU
This 1369-nucleotide ribosomal RNA is filed under the name uncultured bacterium. Its description in RNAcentral is "bacterial SSU rRNA". It matches the Rfam family "Bacterial small subunit ribosomal RNA", at positions 28 to 1381 of the family's 1533-position model. The record is from RNAcentral.